Molecule: long non-coding RNA, 285 nt
Filed under: Elaeis guineensis (African oil palm)
Lineage: Eukaryota; Viridiplantae; Streptophyta; Magnoliopsida; Arecales; Arecaceae
Description: long non-coding RNA (EGUI_LNC002993)
Source: RNAcentral
AGUCUGACUGAAGAUGUUAAAUUUAGUACUUAUUGAGAGACAACCUAGCUCAUACUUUUUUUAAUUCAUAUCUUUUCAUUUUGUUUAGAUUAAUCGAGUCUUAUUUAGUAUCUUUUGUAGGGAUUCUACUCCAUUGGAGACAAUGUCAGCUAAGUUAGGGGGGAGGGAGGAAGCUAAAUAAAGAAAAUGAAGACAUUUCAUCCUCAAGUGCACUCUCUCCUUUUCUUUGAUUUGAUUCUUUUAUUUUUCUUACUCCAUUGAAGAUAAUGUCGAUUAAGCUGGGGG